UACGUAGGGUGCAAGCGUUGUCCGGAAUUAUUGGGCGUAAAGAGCUCGUAGGCGGUCUGUCGCGUCGGCUGUGAAAACCCGGGGCUCAACCCCGGGCCUGCAGUCGAUACGGGCAGGCUAGAGUUCGGUAGGGGAGAUCGGAAUUCCUGGUGUAGCGGUGAAAUGCGCAGAUAUCAGGAGGAACACCGGUGGCGAAGGCGGAUCUCUGGGCCGAUACUGACGCUGAGGAGCGAAAGCGUGGGGAGCGAACAGG
This 253-nucleotide ribosomal RNA is filed under the name uncultured bacterium. Its description in RNAcentral is "partial 16S ribosomal RNA". It matches the Rfam family "Bacterial small subunit ribosomal RNA", at positions 524 to 776 of the family's 1533-position model. The record is from RNAcentral.